RNAcentral lists this ribosomal RNA (429 nucleotides) under bacterium. Its description in RNAcentral is "partial 16S ribosomal RNA". It matches the Rfam family "Bacterial small subunit ribosomal RNA", at positions 355 to 776 of the family's 1533-position model. The record is from RNAcentral.
UGGGGAAUAUUGCGCAAUGGGGGCAACCCUGACGCAGCCAUGCCGCGUGAAUGAAGAAGGCCUUCGGGUUGUAAAGUUCUUUCGGUAGCGAGGAAGGCAUUUAGUUUAAUAGACUAGGUGAUUGACGUUAACUACAGAAGAAGCACCGGCUAACUCCGUGCCAGCAGCCGCGGUAAUACGGAGGGUGCGAGCAUUAAUCGGAAUAACUGGGCGUAAAGGGCACGCAGGCGGUGACUUAAGUGAGGUGUGAAAGCCCCGGGCUUAACCUGGGAAUUGCAUUUCAUACUGGGUCGCUAGAGUACUUUAGGGAGGGGUAGAAUUCCACGUGUAGCGGUGAAAUGCGUAGAGAUGUGGAGGAAUACCGAAGGCGAAGGCAGCCCCUUGGGAAUGUACUGACGCUCAUGUGCGAAAGCGUGGGGAGCAAACAGG